This 71-nucleotide transfer RNA is filed under the name Albula goreensis. RNAcentral describes it as "tRNA-OTHER". Lineage: Eukaryota; Metazoa; Chordata; Actinopteri; Albuliformes; Albulidae. The record is from RNAcentral.
GCCCCGGUAGCUCAUCCGGUACAGUGCAUGCCAUGUACGCAGCGGCCCAGGUUCGAAUUCGGGCUGGGCCC